UACGGAGGGGGCUAGCGUUGUUCGGAAUUACUGGGCGUAAAGCGCACGUAGGCGGUUACUCAAGUCAGAGGUGAAAGCCCGGAGCUUAACUCCGGAAUUGCCUUUGAAACUAGGUAACUCGAAUCCGGGAGAGGUGAGUGGAAUUCCGAGUGUAGAGGUGAAAUUCGUAGAUAUUCGGAAGAACACCAGUGGCGAAGGCGGCUCACUGGACCGGUAUUGACGCUGAGGUGCGAAAGCGUGGGGAGCAAACAGG
This 253-nucleotide ribosomal RNA is filed under the name uncultured bacterium. Its description in RNAcentral is "partial 16S ribosomal RNA". It matches the Rfam family "Bacterial small subunit ribosomal RNA", at positions 524 to 776 of the family's 1533-position model. The record is from RNAcentral.